RNAcentral lists this ribosomal RNA (325 nucleotides) under uncultured Trinematidae. RNAcentral's name for it is "SSU rRNA". The stretch from base 107 to 325 matches the Rfam family "Eukaryotic small subunit ribosomal RNA", at positions 735 to 955 of the family's 1831-position model. Lineage: Eukaryota; Cercozoa; Imbricatea; Euglyphida; Trinematidae. The record is from RNAcentral.
GAUUUCUGACAAAGCGGGGCGGCCCGUGCUCUUAAUGGGUGCUGUGUGCCGUGUCGUGUUUGUCAUCCUUCCAGAGAGCUACGUCUACCAUUCAUUUGGCCGGACGUACGUGAUCUGGAUCGAUUACUUUGAAAAAAUUAGAGUGUUUAAAGCAGGCUUAUGCUGUGAAUACAUUAGCAUGGAAUAAUAAUUUAGGACUUCGGUCCUAUUUUGUUGGUUUCUAGGACAGAAGUAAUGAUUGAUAGGGACAGUUGGGGGUGCUAGUAUUCAGCGGCCAGAGGUGAAAUUCUCGGAUUCGCUGAAGACUAACUUAUGCGAAAGCAUU